Molecule: long non-coding RNA, 789 nt
Organism: Anopheles coustani
Lineage: Eukaryota; Metazoa; Arthropoda; Insecta; Diptera; Culicidae
Exons: 3
Source: RefSeq, a predicted model, not a curated record
AGCGCAUGUAGGCAUGUAGUUUUUCGUAUACGAAGCAAAUGUGUUCUUGAUGAUUUGUGGCUAAGGUGUUUUUGGGGAUAGACUUCUUCGGCGACCGUUUUCGCUCUGAAAUGUAAGUUGAUGUGUGUCCCCGUCGAUUACGGGUAGAGCCAGCGUCAGUGAUGAAGCAGCGUGUUGUGAGAUGGUUAACUUAUUUGGCUUGUUUUUAAAACUAAUCAAAAGGUGUUGCAAAGUAAUGUAGCCAAAUUGCUGUAGAAGAUUGUUCUUUAUUUGUUAUUUGGAUUUGCACAGAAGGUUGUUAGUUUCCUUUGUGUUAGACCGCGUCCAUACGGCAUAGUAGCGUAGCGAUUUUGACACUCCGUCGUAGCGUAAAUGUUGGUCGAGAGGCCUUAGCCACGGCCAUAAAAAAUAGUUGAGACGACGGUAAGUGAAAACUACGAUGGAGUGUUAAAAUUGCUACGCUACGAUGAGGUGUAGACGCGGUCUUAUAGUAAGGAAAGCUCAUAAUGAGAACAAAAUCGAUUGAAAAUAGCUGUUUCAGUAGAAAAACAAAUGUAGAGUUAACUGAACUACGUUACUUAUGGUGUGGAGAAAAGGUUUGCUCUCUGGUACAGAAACUGGAAAAAUCAGAUGUGGAAGUGCCAAUAUUUUAAUAUUUGUGUACGUCAUGGAAACAGAGCGGAGCUGCUCACUCGAUCAUUCGUGCUAAAUGUGCACUGCUAGAUUUUGAAUGUAGUGUGAACGAGCAUACAAGAAAAAUUGAAGCAUUUAACGAAGUUAAUAUAUUCG